This 268-nucleotide signal recognition particle RNA is filed under the name Clostridia bacterium. Its description in RNAcentral is "signal recognition particle sRNA large type". It matches the Rfam family "Bacterial large signal recognition particle RNA". From Rfam's summary of the family: The signal recognition particle (SRP) is a universally conserved ribonucleoprotein involved in the co-translational targeting of proteins to membranes. Archaeal SRP consists of a 7S RNA and homologues of the eukaryotic SRP19 and SRP54 proteins. Lineage: Bacteria; Bacillati; Bacillota; Clostridia. The record is from RNAcentral.
CCAUACCGGUCGGGGAGAUAGCGGUGCCCUGUACCUGCAAUCCGCUACAGCAGGGAUGAUUUCCGUUUACGAGGGGUGGUCGUGUGCGGUCUGCGCCGUAUAAACCGCGUGAUGACGAGCGGGUCUUGUGCAAUCGACUGCCGUGAACCAUGUCAGGUGGGGGACCAAGCAGCAUUAAGCGGAUGUUGUCGAUGUGCCACGAGGGUGCCUUCUCCGAGCGAGGAGUACGGUGGCGCGUGUACGUUCAUUUCGAAUUUACGGUGUAUGG